Molecule: ribosomal RNA, 567 nt
Filed under: uncultured fungus
Lineage: Eukaryota; Fungi
Description: eukaryotic LSU rRNA
Rfam family: 5.8S ribosomal RNA (bases 206-359)
Source: RNAcentral
CGUACAGGUCUCCGUAGGUGAACCUGCGGAGGGAUCAUUACACAAAUAUGAAGGCGGGCUGGAACCUCUCGGGGUUACAGCCUUGCUGAAUUAUUCACCCUUGUCUUUUGCGUACUUCUUGUUUCCUUGGUGGGUUCGCCCACCUCUAGGACAAACAUAAACCUUUUGUAAUUGCAUUCAGCGUCAGUAACAAAUUAAUAAUUACAACUUUCAACAACGGAUCUCUUGGUUCUGGCAUCGAUGAAGAACGCAGCGAAAUGCGAUAAGUAGUGUGAAUUGCAGAAUUCAGUGAAUCAUCGAAUCUUUGAACGCACAUUGCGCCCUUUGGUAUUCCAAAGGGCAUGCCUGUUCGAGCGUCAUUUGUACCCUCAAGCUUUGCUUGGUGUUGGGCGUCUUGUCUCUAGCUUUGCUGGAGACUCGCCUUAAAGUAAUUGGCAGCCGGCCUACUGGUUUCGGAGCGCAGCACAAGUCGCACUCUCUAUCAGCAAAGGUCUAGCAUCCAUUAAGCCUUUUUUUCAACUUUUGACCUCGGAUCAGGUAGGGAUACCCGCUGAACUUAAGCAUAUC